Coregonus clupeaformis (lake whitefish) is the source of this 535-nucleotide long non-coding RNA. RefSeq lists it as uncharacterized. Lineage: Eukaryota; Metazoa; Chordata; Actinopteri; Salmoniformes; Salmonidae. The record is from RefSeq and is a predicted model, not a curated record. The transcript is spliced from 3 exons.
UUCAAGUGGUUGAAAUCUUUAGUAGAGAGAGGAUUUUUUUGUUUGUUGUUGAGUCAAUUCCAUUUUGAUUCCUGUCGCCAUAGGAAUUAUCGCCAUAGUAAUUCCUGGAAACUAAUAAGUCGCUUUGGAUAAAAUCGUCUGCUAAAUGGCAUAUUCUACAGCAGGAUCAGGACAGGACUUGGAUGGAUUGUGGUUGCCAACCUCAGCUCUGGACCGUCCAAGGUUAUGCUGACCUUGAACAAUAUAAUCAGGGCCUGAGUUUUCCCUGUUCAGGGCCCAUAUCCACAAAGCGUCUCAGAGGAGGAGUGCUGGACCCGUAUCCACAAAACAAUUUCAGAAAAAUGGGUGAUGCAGCACUCUCAGCACCACUACUUCCUGCUGCUGUGGAUAAUAACCAAUCGCAAUGAGGCAUCGCCAGCUGUAAACUCUAUAAGCAACACGCUUCAGACAACCAUGGUGAAUGUGACUCUACAUCAAGCUGUCAUCAAGGCAAAGGGUGGCUAUUUGAAGAAUCUCAAAUAUAAAAUAUAUUUUG